GGCCAAAAAGAAAAUAGUAAGUAAUGUAAAGGCGCUAUGCCUGGAUGAUUAUUGACGCUGAGGCGCGAAAGCGUGGGGAGCAAACAGGAUUAGAUACCCUGGUAGUCCACGCCGUAAACGAUGAGCACUAGUUAUUGGAGGUAUUGACUCCUCCAGUGACGCAGCUAACGCAUUAAGUGCUCCGCCUGGGAAGUACGGUCGCAAGACUAAAACUCAAACAAAUUGACGGGGGCCCGCACAAGCGGUGGAUUAUGUGGUUUAAUUCGAAGCAACGCGCAGAACCUUACCUAGGCUUGAACUCCUACGAAUCCGGGGUAAUGCCUGGAGUGUCCGCAAGGAAAUGUAGUGAGAGGUGCUGCAUGGCUGUCGUCAGCUCGUGUUGUGAAAUGUUGGGUUAAGUCUCGCAACGAGCGUCAACACCUUUAUCGUCCGUAGACAAGCAUAAAGUUGAGCAAAAUCUGACGAGACUGCCAAGGUUAACCAGGAGGAAGGUAGGGAUGACGUCAAGUCCUCAUGAAAGCCCUUAUGUCUAGGGCUACACACGUAAUACAAUGGCGCGUACAGAGGGAAGCGAACUCGCGAGGGGGAGCAAAUCUCAAAAAGCGCGUCUCAGUCCGGAUUGGAGUCUGCAACUCGACUCCAUGAAGUUGGAAUCGCUAGUAAUCGGAGAUCAGCACGCUCCGGUGAAUACGUACCCGGGCCUUGUACACACCGCCCGUCACACGCAUGCCCGAGUUGUUUUCAAUUUUAAGACGUGACUA
This 761-nucleotide ribosomal RNA is filed under the name uncultured Peredibacter sp. Its description in RNAcentral is "bacterial SSU rRNA". It matches the Rfam family "Bacterial small subunit ribosomal RNA", at positions 690 to 1441 of the family's 1533-position model. The record is from RNAcentral. Lineage: Bacteria; Pseudomonadati; Bdellovibrionota; Bacteriovoracia; Bacteriovoracales; Bacteriovoracaceae.